This 640-nucleotide ribosomal RNA is filed under the name uncultured bacterium. RNAcentral's name for it is "bacterial SSU rRNA". It matches the Rfam family "Bacterial small subunit ribosomal RNA", at positions 202 to 842 of the family's 1533-position model. The record is from RNAcentral.
UAAAGAUUCAUCGGCUGCGGAUGGCCAUGCGGCGCAUUAGCUAGUCGGCGGGGUAACGGCCCACCGAGGCGACGAUGCGUAGGGGUUCUGAGAGGAAGGUCCCCCACACUGGUACUGAGACACGGACCAGACUCCUACGGGAGGCAGCAGUGAGGAAUAUUGGUCAAUGGCCGGGAGGCUGAACCAGCCAAGUCGCGUGAGGGAAGACGGCCCUACGGGUUGUAAACCUCUUUUGUCAGGGAGCAAGGUGCAGGUCGGGACCUGCUGUGAGAGUACCUGAAGAAAAAGCAUCGGCUAACUCCGUGCCAGCAGCCGCGGUAAUACGGAGGAUGCGAGCGUUAUCCGGAUUUAUUGGGUUUAAAGGGUGCGCAGGCGGAGGCACAAGUCAGCGGUAAAAUCGCGGGGCUCAACCCCGCUCCGCCGUUGAAACUGUGUCCCUUGAGUGCGCGAAGGGUAGGCGGAAUGCGUGGUGUAGCGGUGAAAUGCAUAGAUAUCACGCAGAACUCCGAUCGCGAAGGCAGCCUACCGGCGCGCGACUGACGCUCAUGCACGAAAGCGUGGGUAUCGAACAGGAUUAGAUACCCUGGUAGUCCACGCAGUAAACGAUGAAUGCUAUCUGUCCGGCCGGAAUGACGGCUGG